AUUGAACGCUGGCGGCAUGCCUUACACAUGCAAGUCGAACGGUAACGGGCCUUCGGGUGCCGACGAGUGGCGAACGGGUGAGUAAUACAUCGGAACGUGCCCGAUCGUGGGGGAUAACGAGGCGAAAGCUUUGCUAAUACCGCAUACGAUCUACGGAUGAAAGCAGGGGACCGCAAGGCCUUGCGCGGACGGAGCGGCCGAUGGCAGAUUAGGUAGUUGGUGGGAUAAAAGCUUACCAAGCCGACGAUCUGUAGCUGGUCUGAGAGGAUGAUCAGCCACACUGGGACUGAGACACGGCCCAGACUCCUACGGGAGGCAGCAGUGGGGAAUUUUGGACAAUGGGCGCAAGCCUGAUCCAGCCAUGCCGCGUGCAGGAUGAAGGCCUUCGGGUUGUAAACUGCUUUUGUACGGAACGAAAAGCCUUCUUUUAAUACAGGAGGGUCAUGACGGUACCGUAAGAGUAAGCACCGGCUAACUACGUG
Molecule: ribosomal RNA, 482 nt
Filed under: uncultured bacterium
Lineage: Bacteria
Description: partial 16S ribosomal RNA
Rfam family: Bacterial small subunit ribosomal RNA
Source: RNAcentral